CAGAAGAUAGUUUAAAUUAAAAUAUUAGUUUUGGGUACUAAAGAAAAAUUUUAUUAUUUUCUUCUGA
Molecule: transfer RNA, 67 nt
Filed under: Onomarchus uninotatus
Lineage: Eukaryota; Metazoa; Arthropoda; Insecta; Orthoptera; Tettigoniidae
Description: tRNA-Pro
Source: RNAcentral